GCUAGAUAGCUCAGGUGGUUAGAGUGUGGUGCUGAGAAUGCCAAGGUUGCAGGUCCAAUCCCCAUAAGGGACAGCUGCA
Molecule: non-coding RNA, 79 nt
Organism: Podarcis lilfordi (Lilford's wall lizard)
Lineage: Eukaryota; Metazoa; Chordata; Lepidosauria; Squamata; Lacertidae
Source: the annotation of a GenBank genome assembly